AACGAACGCUGGCGGCAGGCCUAACACAUGCAAGUCGAGCGAGGACUUCGGUCCUAGCGGCGGACGGGUGAGUAACGCGUGGGAACGUGCCCUUUGCUUCGGAAUAGCCCUGGGAAACUGGGAGUAAUACCGGAUGAGCCCUUUGGGGGAAAGAUUUAUCGGCGAAGGAUCGGCCCGCGUUGGAUUAGGUAGUUGGUGGGGUAAUGGCCUACCAAGCCGACGAUCCAUAGCUGGUUUGAGAGGAUGAUCAGCCACACUGGGACUCAGACACGGCCCAGACUCCUACGGGAGGCAGCAGUGGGGAAUCUUAGACAAUGGGGGAAACCCUGAUCUAGCCAUGCCGCGUGAGCGAUGAAGGCCUUAGGGUUGUAAAGCUCUUUCAGCUGGGAAGAUAAUGACGGUACCAGCAGAAGAAGCCCCGGCUAACUCCGUG
RNAcentral lists this ribosomal RNA (433 nucleotides) under uncultured bacterium. Its description in RNAcentral is "partial 16S ribosomal RNA". It matches the Rfam family "Bacterial small subunit ribosomal RNA", at positions 29 to 507 of the family's 1533-position model. The record is from RNAcentral.